This 72-nucleotide transfer RNA is filed under the name Bos taurus (domestic cattle). It matches the Rfam family "tRNA". From Rfam's summary of the family: Transfer RNA (tRNA) molecules are approximately 80 nucleotides in length. Their secondary structure includes four short double-helical elements and three loops (D, anti-codon, and T loops). The record is from Rfam by way of RNAcentral. Lineage: Eukaryota; Metazoa; Chordata; Mammalia; Artiodactyla; Bovidae. RNAcentral also lists the same sequence under 2 other names.
UCCCUGGUGGCUCAGAUGGUAAAGAAUCUGCCUGUAAUGCAGGAGACCUGGGUUCAAUCCCUGGUUUGGGAA